UACGUAGGGGGCAAGCGUUGUCCGGAUUUAUUGGGCGUAAAGAGCGUGUAGGCGGCCAGAUAGGUCAGCUGUGAAAACUCGAGGCUCAACCUCGAGAUGUCGGCUGAAACCAUCUGGCUAGAGUCCGGAAGAGGAGAAUGGAAUUCCCGGUGUAGCGGUGAAAUGCGCAGAUAUCAGGAAGAACACCCGUGGCUAAGGCGGCUCUCUAGUACGGUACUGACGCUGAGACGCGAAAGCGUGGGGAGCGAACAGG
Molecule: ribosomal RNA, 253 nt
Filed under: uncultured bacterium
Lineage: Bacteria
Description: partial 16S ribosomal RNA
Rfam family: Bacterial small subunit ribosomal RNA
Source: RNAcentral